GCCGAAGUGGCGGAAUUUGGUAGACGCGCACGUUUGAGGGGCGUGUGGGGUAACCCGUGGGGGUUCGAGUCCCCCCUUCGGCA
This 83-nucleotide transfer RNA is filed under the name Acidobacteriota bacterium. RNAcentral describes it as "Acidobacteria bacterium tRNA-Leu". It matches the Rfam family "tRNA". Rfam says of the family: Transfer RNA (tRNA) molecules are approximately 80 nucleotides in length. Lineage: Bacteria; Pseudomonadati; Acidobacteriota. The record is from RNAcentral.